Molecule: transfer RNA, 68 nt
Filed under: Ictidomys tridecemlineatus (thirteen-lined ground squirrel)
Lineage: Eukaryota; Metazoa; Chordata; Mammalia; Rodentia; Sciuridae
Also listed under: 1 other name
Description: Spermophilus tridecemlineatus (thirteen-lined ground squirrel) tRNA
Rfam family: tRNA
About the family: Transfer RNA (tRNA) molecules are approximately 80 nucleotides in length. Their secondary structure includes four short double-helical elements and three loops (D, anti-codon, and T loops).
Source: Rfam by way of RNAcentral
GUUGUGGCUCAGUGGUAGAGCACUUGCCUAGCAUGCAUGAGGCACUGGGUUCAAACCCCAGCACAACA